AUACUGAGGGUGCAAGCGUUAAUCGGAAUUACUGGGCGUAAAGCGAGUGUAGGCGGCUAUAUAAGUCGGAUGUGAAAGCCCUGGGCUCAACCUGGGAAUUGCAUUCGAUACUGUAUAGCUAGAAUUUGAGAGAGGGAAGUGGAAUUCCGGGUGUAGCGGUGAAAUGCGUAGAUAUCCGGAGGAACACCAGUGGCGAAGGCGGCUUCCUGGCUCAAAAUUGACGCUGAGGCUCGAAAGCGUGGGGAGCAAACAGGAUUAGAAACCCCGGUAGUCC
This 274-nucleotide ribosomal RNA is filed under the name uncultured bacterium. RNAcentral describes it as "partial 16S ribosomal RNA". It matches the Rfam family "Bacterial small subunit ribosomal RNA", at positions 523 to 796 of the family's 1533-position model. The record is from RNAcentral.